RNAcentral lists this long non-coding RNA (655 nucleotides) under Vigna radiata. Its description in RNAcentral is "long non-coding RNA (VRAD_LNC018096)". Lineage: Eukaryota; Viridiplantae; Streptophyta; Magnoliopsida; Fabales; Fabaceae. The record is from RNAcentral.
AGGGUCGAAGCGCCAACAACCUCUGAUGAUUGUUCGAUAACUGGGGGCACCCGGUUAGUUGGAGGCGGACGGUUAACUGGAGGUGGGCGGGGAUCUCUACUUGAUGAAGGGGCGUCAUCAAUAUCCUUUCUUGAAGACAUGAAAAUGGAUUUGCAAGGAGCGGGGACAUACAUAAUGCUUGAAAGGAAAACACAAACUUAGCUAAGUUAACAUCAAAGCACUAACUAAAGCAAUAAGACAAAAAAUACCAUACCAAAUGCCAAUUGGUCAAAAUCCUCAUGGCCAAGGAUCUCAAAAAGGCCGCGGGUAGAGAGGCGGCGGGGCAACCCAUUGAUGAUCCUCACGGCCUCCAAAUUCGUUGGGUUCAACAUGCCGACUGGAUAGGCUUUUAUUUUUCACGGAUUCCUUGUCCAAUAAAAGGAGAACAGGGGGCGUCUGACUUCAUCAUGGAAUUAUGAUCGGCUUGACUCUUUUAUUAUGACCUUGAAGUACUGGUCUUUAAAAUUCUUAAACGAAUCAGAAAUUUUUUUUAAAGAAACAGUUAUCCUUGACGGACGUUAAGGAUACCCAACCGCGCUUCGCAAGAGGGCGAACGUCGAAAUAAUGUAGGAAAAUGGGGACAAUAGGAAUUAUCCCCAGGGCAGAACACGUUGCC